This 300-nucleotide ribosomal RNA is filed under the name uncultured Lactobacillus sp. RNAcentral's name for it is "bacterial SSU rRNA". It matches the Rfam family "Bacterial small subunit ribosomal RNA", at positions 496 to 795 of the family's 1533-position model. Lineage: Bacteria; Bacillati; Bacillota; Bacilli; Lactobacillales; Lactobacillaceae. The record is from RNAcentral.
GCUGAAGCGGGGCCGGCAGCCGCGGUAAUACGUAUGUGCCGAGCGUUAUCCGGAGUUAUUGGGCGUAAAGCUAGCGCAGACGGUUCGAUAAGUCUGAAGUGAAAGCCCACAGCUCAACUGUUGAAUGGCUUUGGAAACUGUCGAACUUGAGUGCAGUAGAGGUAAGUGGAACUCCAUGUGUAGCGGUGGAAUGCGUAGAUAUAUGGAAGAACACCAGUGGCGAAGGCGGCUUACUGGACUGCAACUGACGUUGAGGCUCGAAAGUGUGGGUAGCAAACAGGAUUAGAUACCCUAGUAGUC